This 497-nucleotide ribosomal RNA is filed under the name uncultured bacterium. Its description in RNAcentral is "partial 16S ribosomal RNA". It matches the Rfam family "Bacterial small subunit ribosomal RNA", at positions 28 to 507 of the family's 1533-position model. The record is from RNAcentral.
GAUGAACGCUGGCGGCGUGCCUAAUACAUGCAAGUCGAGCGAACAGACGAGGAGCUUGCUCCUCUGACGUUAGCGGCGGACGGGUGAGUAACACGUGGAUAACCUACCUAUAAGACUGGGAUAACUUCGGGAAACCGGAGCUAAUACCGGAUAAUAUAUUGAACCGCAUGGUUCAAUAGUGAAAGACGGUUUUGCUGUCACUUAUAGAUGGAUCUGCGCCGCAUUAGCUAGUUGGUAAGGUAACGGCUUACCAAGGCAACGAUGCGUAGCCGACCUGAGAGGGUGAUCGGCCACACUGGAACUGAGACACGGUCCAGGCUCCUACGGGAGGCAGCAGUAGGGAAUCUUCCGCAAUGGGCGAAAGCCUGGCGGAGCAACGCCGCGUGAGUGAUGAAGGUCUUCGGAUCGUAAAACUCUGUUAUUAGGGAAGAACAAAUGUGUAAGUAACUAUGCACGUCUUGACGGUACCUAAUCAGAAAGCCACGGCUAACUACGUG